GACGAACGCUGGCGGCGUGCUUAACACAUGCAAGUCGAACGGAAAGGCCCUGCUUUUGUGGGGUGCUCGAGUGGCGAACGGGUGAGUAACAAGUGAGUAACCUGCCCUUGACUUUGGGAUAACUUCAGGAAACUGGGGCUAAUACCGGAUAGGAGCUCCUGCUGCAUGGUGGGGGUUGGAAAGUUUCGGCGGUUGGGGAUGGACUCGCGGCUUAUCAGCUUGUUGGUGGGGUAGUGGCUUACCAAGGCUUUGACGGGUAGCCGGCCUGAGAGGGUGACCGGCCACAUUGGGACUGAGAUACGGCCCAGACUCCUACGGGAGGCAGCAGAGGGGAAUAUUGCACAAUGGGCGGAAGCCUGAUGCAGCAACGCCGCGUGCGGGAUGACGGCCUUCGGGUUGUAAACCGCUUUCGCCUGUGACGAAGCGUGAGUGACGGUAAUGGGUAAAGAAGCACCGGCUAACUACGUG
RNAcentral lists this ribosomal RNA (468 nucleotides) under uncultured bacterium. RNAcentral's name for it is "partial 16S ribosomal RNA". It matches the Rfam family "Bacterial small subunit ribosomal RNA", at positions 28 to 507 of the family's 1533-position model. The record is from RNAcentral.